UACAUAUACCUCUCCCAGGGCUUGACAAUUAACCCAACAUUUUCUUUUCAGGAUCCACUAAAGAUGUCAUCACCCCCCAGACAGCAGGAAGUAAAUUUAAGAAUAUGAUGCCCACAUCCCCAAGAGUGGGUGAGUUUUGGUUUAUGGAAAUUUGUCAUUGUUUAGGAUAUUUGGUUAAAAGUUGUUUCUGGUAAUGGUCAGGAAAAAAGCUAAACAAAGGAGAUUGGAUUCAGGGUUCUUGUUUUAAAAAGAAAAAAAAAGGGAUACAGAUAUGGUAGGAUAAAGUGGUGUAUCAUUGGAUCCACUCUGAAAAGAAAAAAAGGGGUGUAUAUAUGAUAUAAUAAAUAGGUAGAUUGUUGAAUUUACUUCAAAAAACUACUAGUUUUAAAUAUUUCGCAUUGCUUUAGGUUUUUUAUAUUGAUACAAAGUUGAGAUUAUUUUUUUAGAACAAACUUUACGUACAUUUCUAAUCUUGUUCAAGUUGUGGUACAUAUACAACUCAUUUAAUAAUGUAAUCAAGAUUUUUAGCCCUUGAAAGUUAUUAUUACCAACUCUAUAAGAUAAUAAGGAAAUGCAUUUUAACAGUUAGUUACCUGUUACAAUCAUUUUAGGUGUGCUCUCAAGGUGAAUGGAGACAUAUUUUACAUAAAUAGGUCAUCUUCAAACACUACAAAAAUCUGAAGAAUAUAGCAUUUAAGAUUUUUUAAUAACAUCAGUUCUUUCUUUUUUUAUGACAAUGAGACAUAUCUGUUCCUGGCAGCACCAAUCUACUUUGGAGAAGAUUGUGGACAUCAAAGAAAAUCCAUAUGGAGUUUAUUUUCUUUUGCACAAAUGUUAGCCACUAUCAAGAAACUACUCUUGCCUUGACCGCCAACAAUAUGCUGUCAAAACUGGACAAGAAGGACACAAAACAAAGGACUGCUGAACUUUGCCAAGACAAAAUAGGACAUCCCUUGAGAAUAUCCUACUUCACAUACAAAUCUGUCAGAUAUGCUAUACCUGUAGGUCAAAUAUGGAUGCCCCAAAAUUGCAGGGGAACGUUGGGUGACUGCCAGGCAGUCAGCUGUUUCUGCCAUAUCUCACACAUCAAGAAGUACAAGCAAGCUGAGGAGUUAGUAAGGACAUUGAAAAAUCUUAUCAUUUGGAAAAGUUUCUGCCUAUUUGCUUGCUUAUAUGAUUGGUGUAACAUUGCCUGUUUCUUUAUAGAGAAUGUUUUUCUUUUCCUGAUUUAAUCUUGUACCCAACUAACAUUACACAGACUGAACACGUUGUAUUUGUGUAUUUACAAAAAUAUAUUUACAUGCAUACAUACUUUUGUAAUAAAAAUAAUAAAAUGCCAUAAAU
Molecule: long non-coding RNA, 1344 nt
Filed under: Cricetulus griseus (Chinese hamster)
Lineage: Eukaryota; Metazoa; Chordata; Mammalia; Rodentia; Cricetidae
Description: lncRNA (ENSCGRG00000026363.1)
Source: RNAcentral